This 527-nucleotide ribosomal RNA is filed under the name uncultured endophytic bacterium. RNAcentral's name for it is "bacterial SSU rRNA". It matches the Rfam family "Bacterial small subunit ribosomal RNA", at positions 8 to 524 of the family's 1533-position model. The record is from RNAcentral.
AGAGUUUGAUCCUGGCUCAGAUUGAACGCUGGCGGCAGGCCUAACACAUGCAAGUCGAACGGUAACAGAAAGCAGCUUGCUGCUUCGCUGACGAGUGGCGGACGGGUGAGUAAUGUCUGGGAAACUGCCUGAUGGAGGGGGAUAACUACUGGAAACGGUAGCUAAUACCGCAUAACGUCGCAAGACCAAAGAGGGGGACCUUCGGGCCUCUUGCCAUCAGAUGUGCCCAGAUGGGAUUAGCUAGUAGGUGGGGUAAUGGCCCACCUAGGCGACGAUCCCUAGCUGGUCUGAGAGGAUGACCAGCCACACUGGAACUGAGACACGGUCCAGACUCCUACGGGAGGCAGCAGUGGGGAAUAUUGCACAAUGGGCGCAAGCCUGAUGCAGCCAUGCCGCGUGUAUGAAGAAGGCCUUCGGGUUGUAAAGUACUUUCAGCGGGGAGGAAGGCGAUGCGGUUAAUAACCGCAUCGAUUGACGUUACCCGCAGAAGAAGCACCGGCUAACUCCGUGCCAGCAGCCGCGGUAAU